UCAUCUCCGGGGGUAGAGCACUGUUUCGGCUAGGGGGCCAUCCCGGCUUACCAACCCGAUGCAAACUGCGAAUACCGGAGAAUGUUAUCACGGGAGACACACGGCGGGUGCUAACGUCCGUCGUGAAGAGGGAAACAACCCAGACCGCCAGCUAAGGUCCCAAAGUCAUGGUUAAGUGGGAAACGAUGUGGGAAGGCCCAGACAGCCAGGAUGUUGGCUUAGAAGCAGCCAUCAUUUAAAGAAAGCGUAAUAGCUCACUGGUCGAGUCGGCCUGCGCGGAAGAUGUAACGGGGCUAAACCAUGCACCGAAGCUGCGGCAGCGACACUCAGGUGUUGUUGGGUAGGGGAGCGUUCUGUAAGCCUGCGAAGGUGGCCUGUGAGGGUUGCUGGAGGUAUCAGAAGUGCGAAUGCUGACAUAAGUAACGAUAAAGCGGGUGAAAAGCCCGCUCGCCGGAAGACCAAGGGUUCCUGUCCAACGUUAAUCGGGGCAGGGUGAGUCGACCCCUAAGGCGAGGCCGAAAGGCGUAGUCGAUGGGAAACGGGUUAAUAUUCCCGUACUUGGUGUUACUGCGAAGGGGGGACGGAGAAGGCUAUGUUGGCCGGGCGACGGUUGUCCCGGUUUAAGCGUGUAGGUGUGUGUUCCAGGUAAAUCCGGUUCACUUUAACACUGAGGCGUGAUGACGAGGCACUACGGUGCUGAAGCAACAAAUGCCCUGCUUCCAGGAAAAGCCUCUAAGCAUCAGGUAACAUCAAAUCGUACCCCAAACCGACACAGGUGGUCAGGUAGAGAAUACCAAGGCGCUUGAGAGAACUCGGGUGAAGGAACUAGGCAAAAUGGUGCCGUAACUUCGGGAGAAGGCACGCUGACACGUAGGUGAAGUGAUUUACUCAUGGAGCUGAAGUCAGUCGAAGAUACCAGCUGGCUGCAACUGUUUAUUAAAAACACAGCACUGUGCAAACACGAAAGUGGACGUAUACGGUGUGACGCCUGCCCGGUGCCGGAAGGUUAAUUGAUGGGGUCAGCGCAAGCGAAGCUCCUGAUCGAAGCCCCGGUAAACGGCGGCCGUAACUAUAACGGUCCUAAGGUAGCGAAAUUCCUUGUCGGGUAAGUUCCGACCUGCACGAAUGGCGUAAUGAUGGCCAGGCUGUCUCCACCCGAGACUCAGUGAAAUUGAACUCGCUGUGAAGAUGCAGUGUACCCGCGGCAAGACGGAAAGACCCCGUGAACCUUUACUAUAGCUUGACACUGAACAUUGAGCCUUGAUGUGUAGGAUAGGUGGGAGGCUUUGAAGUGUGGACGCCAGUCUGCAUGGAGCCGGCCUUGAAAUACCACCCUUUAAUGUUUGAUGUUCUAACGUGGACCCGUGAUCCGGGUUGCGGACAGUGUCUGGUGGGUAGUUUGACUGGGGCGGUCUCCUCCUAAAGAGUAACGGAGGAGCACGAAGGUUGGCUAAUCCUGGUCGGACAUCAGGAGGUUAGUGCAAUGGCAUAAGCCAGCUUGACUGCGAGCGUGACGGCGCGAGCAGGUGCGAAAGCAGGUCAUAGUGAUCCGGUGGUUCUGAAUGGAAGGGCCAUCGCUCAACGGAUAAAAGGUACUCCGGGGAUAACAGGCUGAUACCGCCCAAGAGUUCAUAUCGACGGCGGUGUUUGGCACCUCGAUGUCGGCUCAUCACAUCCUGGGGCUGAAGUAGGUCCCAAGGGUAUGGCUGUUCGCCAUUUAAAGUGGUACGCGAGCUGGGUUUAGAACGUCGUGAGACAGUUCGGUCCCUAUCUGCCGUGGGCGCUGGAGAACUGAGGGGGGCUGCUCCUAGUACGAGAGGACCGGAGUGGACGCAUCACUGGUGUUCGGGUUGUCAUGCCAAUGGCACUGCCCGGUAGCUAAAUGCGGAAGAGAUAAGUGCUGAAAGCAUCUAAGCACGAAACUUGCCCCGAGAUGAGUUCUCCCUGAGACUUUAGGUCUCCUGAAGGAACGUUGAAGACGACGACGUUGAUAGGCCGGGUGUGUAAGCGCAGCGAUGCGUUGAGCUAACCGGUACUAAUGAACCGUGAGGCUUAACCUUACA
This 2063-nucleotide ribosomal RNA is filed under the name Salmonella enterica. Its description in RNAcentral is "partial 23S ribosomal RNA". It matches the Rfam family "Bacterial large subunit ribosomal RNA", at positions 890 to 2925 of the family's 2925-position model. Lineage: Bacteria; Pseudomonadati; Pseudomonadota; Gammaproteobacteria; Enterobacterales; Enterobacteriaceae. The record is from RNAcentral.